RNAcentral lists this ribosomal RNA (274 nucleotides) under uncultured bacterium. RNAcentral describes it as "partial 16S ribosomal RNA". It matches the Rfam family "Bacterial small subunit ribosomal RNA", at positions 523 to 796 of the family's 1533-position model. The record is from RNAcentral.
AUACGAAGGGUGCAAGCGUUAAUCGGAAUUACUGGGCGUAAAGCGCGCGUAGGCGGUUUGUUAAGUCAGAUGUGAAAGCCCCAGGCUCAACCUGGGAACUGCAUUUGAAACUGGCAGGCUAGAGUGUGGUAGAGGGAAGUGGAAUUUCAGGUGUAGCGGUGAAAUGCGUAGAUAUCUGAAGGAACAUCAGUGGCGAAUGCGACUUCCUGGACCAACACUGACGCUGAGGUGCGAAAGCGUGGGUAGCAAACAGGAUUAGAUACCCUAGUAGUCC